GGAAUCUUGGACAAUGGGGGCAACCCUGAUCCAGCCAUGCCGCGUGAGUGAUGAAGGCCCUAGGGUUGUAAAGCUCUUUCAGCAGGGAUGAUAAUGACAGUACCUGCAGAAGAAGCCCCGGCUAACUUCGUGCCAGCAGCCGCGGUAAUACGAAGGGGGCUAGCGUUGUUCGGAAUUACUGGGCGUAAAGCGCACGUAGGCGGACUAUUAAGUCAGAGGUGAAAUCCCGGGGCUCAACUCCGGAACUGCCUUUGAUACUGGUAGUCUUGAGUCCGAGAGAGGUGAGUGGAACUCCUAGUGUAGAGGUGGAAUUCGUAGAUAUUAGGAAGAACACCAGUGGCGAAGGCGGCUCACUGGCUCGGUACUGACGCUGAGGUGCGAAAGCGUGGGGAGCA
This 395-nucleotide ribosomal RNA is filed under the name uncultured bacterium. RNAcentral's name for it is "bacterial SSU rRNA". It matches the Rfam family "Bacterial small subunit ribosomal RNA", at positions 358 to 770 of the family's 1533-position model. The record is from RNAcentral.